Molecule: long non-coding RNA, 587 nt
Organism: Etheostoma cragini (Arkansas darter)
Lineage: Eukaryota; Metazoa; Chordata; Actinopteri; Perciformes; Percidae
Exons: 7
Source: RefSeq, a predicted model, not a curated record
AGUGGAAAUAUGAUUAACGCCCAGCUGUGCACUACAUGAGCUCAGUACUCACUGCGCAGCUUUGCGGCGCAUUUAAGAGAGGUCGGAUCCGGAAGUCUGUCCUUUUUCCUUGGAGGAGACACAACGAUGAGCCGAGACGAGUGCUGCUCCUCAUGACAUUCGAAUAAACAAAUUGCUUCGACAAAUUUAGAAGACUGCAUCAUGUUUAGUCUUCAUAACGACGCUGUUUCGAUGAAGAUGGAAAAUGUUAUCUACGAUUGGUACACCUGAAAAGAUGUCAAGUCACCCUUGUCUACUACAGAUGGCUGGAUAUUGGUUUUCACCAUGUGGACCUUAAGCUGCUUCAGACGUCACCCUGUGGUGAGGGACAUGUGCCCAAUUUAAUCCUGUCUCCUGUGCUGAUCUAGAGAUGGGCAGUUGGUGCAGCAGUGGAACAGUGUCUGCUUUAUCUAAUGUGGUUACAGGACCAUUUGACCUUACGGAGUAGGCUCAUGUGAAAACAUUGCUGAAGCUGAUGGCUCACCAGUUGGAGGACUUCUGGAGAUUUACUUUUUUGAGGGGGGGAUGACAUUAAAAAAUGAUUGAAU